CAGUCGCCGCGGGAAAACGGAGGGUGCAAGCGUUAAUCGGAAUUACUGGGCGUAAAGCGUGCGUAGGCGGUUCGUUAAGUCUGUUGUGAAAGCCCCGGGCUCAACCUGGGAAUGGCAAUGGAUACUGGCGAGCUAGAGUGUGUCAGAGGAUGGUGGAAUUCCCGGUGUAGCGGUGAAAUGCGUAGAGAUCGGGAGGAACAUCAGUGGCGAAGGUGGCCAUCUGGGACAACACUGACGCUGAGGCACGAAAGCGUGGGGAGCAAGCAGGAUUAGAUACCCCUGUAGUCCCUGUCUCUUAUAA
Molecule: ribosomal RNA, 301 nt
Filed under: uncultured bacterium
Lineage: Bacteria
Description: partial 16S ribosomal RNA
Rfam family: Bacterial small subunit ribosomal RNA
Source: RNAcentral